CCUACGGGAGGCAGCAGUGGGGAAUUUUGGACAAUGGGCGCAAGCCUGAUCCAGCAAUGCCGCGUGAGUGAAGAAGGCCUUCGGGUUGUAAAGCUCUUUUGUCAGGGAAGAAACGGCUGAGGAUAAUACCUUUGGCUAAUGACGGUACCUGAAGAAUAAGCACCGGCUAACUACGUGCCAGCAGCCGCGGUAAUACGUAGGGUGCAAGCGUUAAUCGGAAUUACUGGGCGUAAAGCGUGCGCAGGCGGUUUUGUAAGUCUGACGUGAAAUCCCCGGGCUCAACCUGGGAAUUGCGUUGGAGACUGCAAGGCUGGAGUCUGGCAGAGGGGGGUAGAAUUCCACGUGUAGCAGUGAAAUGCGUAGAGAUGUGGAGGAACACCGAUGGCGAAGGCAGCCCCCUGGGUCAAGACUGACGCUCAUGCACGAAAGCGUGGGGAGCAAACAGGAUUAGAUACCCUGGUAGUCCACGCCCUAAACGAUGUCUACUAGUUGUCGGGUCUUAAUUGACUUGGUAACGCAGCUAACGCGUGAAGUAGACCGCCUGGGGAGUAACGGUCGCAAAGAUUAAAACUUCAAAAGGAAUUGACGGGCNGAGAGNGCCGACGGACGACGACGAGGGGAGGUUAGGAG
RNAcentral lists this ribosomal RNA (630 nucleotides) under uncultured bacterium. RNAcentral's name for it is "bacterial SSU rRNA". It matches the Rfam family "Bacterial small subunit ribosomal RNA", at positions 338 to 956 of the family's 1533-position model. The record is from RNAcentral.